CAAGUCGAACGAAGGCUCUAGCUUGCUAGAUGUCCUUAGUGGCGGACGGGUGAGUAACGCGGUACGGGAACCAACCGUUGGAGGACGGGGAAUAACUAGUUAGGAAACGAGUGGACUAACUACCGCAUACCGCCCUACGGGGGGAAAAGGCUUCGGCCACUCCAAGACGGUCCCGCGUCUGAUUAGCUAGUUGGUGAGGUAAUGGCUCGCCAAGGCGACGAUCAGUAGCUGGUCUGAGAGGAUGAUCAGCCACACUGGGACUGAGACACGGCCCAGACUCC
Molecule: ribosomal RNA, 281 nt
Filed under: unidentified marine bacterioplankton
Lineage: Bacteria
Description: partial 16S ribosomal RNA
Rfam family: Bacterial small subunit ribosomal RNA
Source: RNAcentral